Molecule: long non-coding RNA, 8113 nt
Filed under: Podarcis lilfordi (Lilford's wall lizard)
Lineage: Eukaryota; Metazoa; Chordata; Lepidosauria; Squamata; Lacertidae
Source: RNAcentral
UUAUAGAAAUUGAUGGCAAGACCACAUUUGGAAUACCAUGUACAUCUCUGGUCCCCUCACCUCAAAAAGGGUAUUGUAGAGUUUAAAAAGAUUCAGGAAAGGGCAACCAAAAUGAUCAAGGAGAUGGAAAAACUGCCCUGUGAGGAGAGGUUGCAGUAUCUGGGAAUUUUUAUAGAGGAAAAAGGUGAGUAGGAGGUGACAUGACAGAAGUUUUUAAAAUUAUACAUGGAAUGGAGAAAGUGGACAGAGAAAUGUUUUCCUCCCUCUCUCUUAACACUAGAACUUGUAGACAUGCCUUGUAGAUAUCCAAUGAAGCUGAAUGUUGGGAGAGACGGGAUACAUAAAAGUCAGUACUUCUUCACACAAUGCACAGAAGGCAGUGAUGGCUUUGCAAGAGGUCUAGGCAAAUACAUGGAGGAAAAGGCCGUCCGUGGCUACUAGACAUUGUGGCUGUGCUCUGCCUCCAUGGCUGGAAGCAGUAAUACUUCUGAAUACCAGCUGCUGGAAACUGCAGGAGCAAAGAGUCCUCUUAUGUGUGGGUCCUGUUGGCAGGUUUCCUACAGACAUCUGUUUAGGUGCAUAAAAUUUCAUAGUUCACCCAUCUCCUAUUUCCCCCCCCAUCCACUGUGACUGUGUAUAUUUAAAAGAACUAGACAUGCUGCUGGAGGUUGUAGUCUUACAAGAGAAAGAAAAACCUGUAAUCUUCCAAGUUGUCAGACAAAAGACUAGAACAAAAAUUACAAAUGACAACUAUGUACAGAGCAUUUCUCUCUUGCAAGGCAACCGGUUUUCAUCCUAAGAUACUAAAAUUGCCUGAGAAUCACCUACCUCAUGGUUAUAUAAGUUUGCCUCUGAUGUAAGGCAGAAACAGAUUUUAUAAACCAAACCAAUAAAUAGCCAAUUAAUCCUUAACAAUUUAUAAGGAGCAGAAUCUUCAUUUCAUUAAAGUUACUAAUCAAUACCUAUACCCAUUCAAGAGACAGCAGUGAAUAGGGAGACUUGGGUUCCUUUCCUAACUACCAAGCAUGGAUGGUAUUUCUAUGUAAUGAAAUCCCAAAGGCAGAAAAGAUUUAGUGGAGUUGAGUGGAACCUUAGUCUUCCCAUCACUUCUCUGUUCCAAACUAUCCCCUUUAUUGCCAUGAUAGAAUAUCCCAACAGCACCUUCUUUCAUAUGUUAGUGAGUAACUAUCUACCCAUCUGAAAAUCAAAAGUGAAAUCACACAGGCUGUGGAAAUAAAGGACAAUCAGUAAAGAGAUUGGUAACUGAAUAGUUCAGGCUUGUCAGGAAAGAAAUCACAAAGGCGAAGGUGUAAAUGGGUGACAACUUUCUGGAGUUGUUAGACAUAAUUAGAAAUAUGUCAGAAAUAAAUGGAAGACCGAAAGCUACAUUCAUGUGCUAUAUUUUCCUGCAGCCCUUGGUUCAGCAACAAUUUAAGGGAUGUGGAAUUAUAAAGGAGAAAAUGGACCAAUGCUGCUGCUUUGGGAACAUCACAAUGUCUGGCCUGGGACAUUCUCCCAGUUAUAGAUCUUUCCCUUCUGCACCUAUCCACCGCAGGAAGUCAGAUUUAUUAUGACAGGCUCACAAUAGCUUACUUGCACCCUAAAAAUGAAAAUCUGAGGAAGAUAAGCUCCACCAGCUAUUAUUUUUAUAGAUCAUCAUCUAAUAAUAUAUCCAAUUUUUAUAGUCAUUAAUACUCUGACCACUUCUUGAAGACAUAAGAAGAGUUCUACUUGAUCAGACCAAAGGCCCAUCUGGUCCAGUAUCCUCUUCUCCCAGUGGCCAACCAGAUGAGUGCACUUUUCUCUGCUUUUGAUUCUCGCAAAGAAAGGUGGGCCAUAAAUUUGUUUAUAUUGUACAAAACAUGGGAACAUAGGAAGCUGCUUUAUCCUAGGUUUGGCCAUUAGUUCAUCUAGCUUAGUAUUGUCAACACUAUCUGGCAGCAGCUCAACCGGGGUUCAGGCAGGGGGAAUUCCCAGACCUACCUAGAGAUGUUGGGGUUUGAACCUGGAACCUCCUGGAUGCAAAGUGGAAGUUCUACUGUUGAGCUAUGGCCCUUCUGUAACUGAAGCUAUUGAUAGACUUCAUAUAUAUUCUUGUCAGAACUUGAAGCAGGCAUUUGAUUUCAAAUGGGACACUCUUUGUGCUUGGUAAGCUUGGAGGAAUCUGUAAAUUGGCAGAUGAAUUUGUUUGUUGAUUAGGAAUUGUGAAACCAAACAUCAAACUCUCUAAGUAUUGUUGCAUUUCCAGCUUGAUCUGUAACCUUUGCUAUAGGAAACAGGCAAAAAUGCAGGCAUCAGUGAUACUAUCUGAACAUUUCCUCAGGAUACAGCUCACAUAGAUAGGAAUAAACAUUAACAUAUAUAGUGUUUUUCUCCACAAUUGUAUACCAACUUAUGAUUUUCAGAAUUAUUUCCUUCUACAUUUUAUUUACAUUUCCCACAGUCAUUAUUGUAAAAAAUGAAUCUCAAUGCAUUUUUAAUCUAACCCUAUUUUUGGAAGACAUAUGAAAAUUGAACCAGAACAUAAAGGGAAGGUUUACCUAUAGUUGUGUUCAAGACUAAACUGGUUUUGACAAAUUUAGAGCUGCACACACAAUAUUAUUGUUAUUUAUUUUCUGUGUUAUUCUCAUUUGGGCAUCCAUGAUACAUUUGGAAACGUAGCCUCCAGUGAAGAAAAGUCAGGUUCUGUUUUUGCAAAGAGGAACUUUUUCUACAUAUAUUACUGUCUGGUCAUUUUUUCUACCUUUUCUUCUGAAAGGCAUUACAAAGUUUACAAUUCAUGCACAAUAUUGGGUUCAGGAAAGAUUACGGCUAAGGCAAAUUCCGGUUUUCAAAUAUCUGUCAGCUCAGAUUCCAUUCAUUAAUUUGAGUGAAAUUCUCACCAGUUUAUAGGCUUGCUAUAUUCAACUAGCUAGAGCUUAUUUUUUCUAAUGAUAAUGCAUAAUCUCGUCUCAUGCAUUUAACAGUAUGUGUGAGGGCUUAAACUGAGUAGGGGGGCAGUCUGAGAGGUGUGUGUCAAUGAGGGACAUCCCAGUGUCUUCCACCCUACCUGCUUUUCUUCAGGGUAUUGGGGAAUUCUAACCAUGUUCAGAUGGAUGGGGUUAGAAUCCUCAUUUCAAACAGGAGCUCUAAUUAGGGAAAAAAGGAACAAAGGAAGCUGCCUUAAACCAUUGGUCCAUCUUGCUCAAUAUUGUCUACACUGACUGGCAGAAGCUUUCCAGAGUUUCAGGCAGGAGUCUACACCUCGACAGCCCUACACCUGGAGAUGCUGAGGAUUCAACUUUCGACCUUCUGCAAGCAAAGCAGAUGCUCUACCACUGAGAUAUGGCCCUUCCCCUCGUGCAGAGUUUCUGAUCUGAGGGAAGAUUGUUACCAUAUUCAGCUGGUUAGAGCAUUUCUUCAGGCCUUCAUAGAGGCUCCAGAACAUGUGUGUCUGUACGUUGGGGGCAGGGCUUGCAUGCAUAUCCCCAUGCCCAAACAUUAAGCCUGCACAUAUAUAUUUUUUGAAUGCCCAAAGAAAGCUACAUGUUGUGGCUCCCAAGGCCCAUUUUCCCAUGCCAAGAAUUAGAACUUUCAAAUAAAAAGGUGUUGCUUCUAGUCCACAUGUUUGCAAAGCUAUCGUUGAAGAUGUGAUUGCACACAUAUUGAUUAAAGUUUGCAAAGAGUAAUGUUUCUGAAUAAUGACUAUUGUUGCACACACUUGGAGUGAUGAGAGACUUCAGGGGUUCCUGAAUUUACCCAGGGUUCAGUUUCCUUAGAGUGAAGUUCAGUGGAGAAUGUAGUGUUUUUAGGAUAUAUGGGGUUGCUUCCCGGGCACUUGUCACUAUGGCAACACACCUUUUCUUUGCCAGCUCUUUAGACAUGUAAAUGGAGGGUUUUUGCGGCCUGGCGAGGGCCAUUAACUUAACAGAUAGUGGUUUAACCACUUCUGCUGUCUUUCCAACUAUAAUCUACUAUGUUGUAGAUACAAAAUCUACAACACUGGGACCCAAGGGCAUAAUUCAAAUAAACCCACCAAUCUUAGAAAAUAUAUAAACCAUCGUAAUAUAUAUUCAGGAUCCCUAAUGUUCUUGAAAAAGGCAGGUAAACCACAUCAGAUGUACACAACUAAUGUUGUCUGGUUUUAUUGUUGUAAACUGCUGUGGUAUAUUUUUAUGAUACAGUGGUAUAUAAAUGUUUAAAUAACUAAUAAACAAACAAACAAAUAAUACCCCUGCUUUGCUGCAGUUUUCUGGCUCAUGAUAUGUCUCUGAUAUGGUCCCCAGUGCUGAACAAAUUGUUCAUCUUUGAUACUUGAUUAAAUGGCAGAAAGAUUUUUGUUGUUGUUAAUCCUUAUGUAGGGUUAUAAAUGUUUCGCAUGUUUUACUCUCUUCCUAGCAUGACGCCUUUCAAAGCUGAGUUGGGCUUCCCCUUGCUAGCAUGAUGCCCGUGCCUUUAAUGACAGGCAGGCAGAAACUGAGAAGAUGAAGUUCAUUUCAGCAUGAAAAUGAUAUGAAAGCCUUGUUAAAUUUCUGUCAGGUAGGUGUUAAAGGAGUAGCCCUCCCAGGAAAUAAUUGGCAAUUACAGAAGUCAAGGUUAACUAUAUAAAACCUGAUAUUUACCUGAUGUUAGGAGACAAAGUUUCCUCUUGCAAGCAGCAAUGGACAGCAUGACAGAGCUGCACCAUUCAAAUUAAAGGCAAAGCUACCUAGUUUGCAGUUUCCGAAAUAAUACACGGACUAAAAAAGGCAUCCUUCAAAAUUUUCACUUCUCUGAAUUUUUCAACCACUUCCACAACUAAGUAGUGUGUACAAAAAUGCAUAUACGUGAUAAACUGUGUGUUAAAAUACACAUAUUUGUGCAAAUACAGUGGUACCUUGGGUUACAGACGCUUCAGGUUACAGACUCCGCUAACCCAGAAAUAGUACCUCGGGUUAAGAACUUUGCUUCAGGAUGAGAACAGAAAUUGCGGGGGGGGGGGGCAGCGGCGCAGCAGCAGCGGGAAGCCCCAUUAGCUAAGUGGUACAGUGGUAAGAACAGUUUCAGGUUAAGAACGGACUUCCAGAACAAAUUAAGUUCUUAACCCAAGGUACCACUGUAACAUACAAAAAUACAUUACGUUAUGGGAAAUUGCUUUGCAGAAUGUGUGCAUUGGACAACACUGCAUACAAAAAUGUGUAUUUUAGAAUUAGAAUAUUCACACAAAAAUGCUGGUGAACUUCCACGAGGACUUUAAAAGAAAAAAACGAAUUGGCAAAGUGAUGUGGGAAUGUGGAAAACUGAACUUAAUAUUAGAAAAAUGAGAAACUGACAGAAACUGAAAUUGACAGAUUUCCCCAUCCCUAUCCUGGAGUAAAUAAUUUUUGUACUCUACACACUUUCAGUUUGCUUCUUCUUCUACAGGUGUGGCUUGCCAGUUUAGUCCAACAAUCACCCCUUCUGUAAUAAACCCUUAACCACAGAAUGUAAUGCAUGUCUGUUAAAGUAAGAUGUAUUGAGUUCAACUUCCAGAGUUUAGAAGUAAGCGUUGAGAGUUUAGCUCAGUCAGUAGAGCCUGAGACACUUAAUCUGAGGAUUGUGGGUUCAACCCUCACAUUGGGUGAAAGAUUCCUGUAGAUGAUCCUUGUAGUUCCUUCCACUUCUACAGUUCAAUGAUUCUAUUCCGCCUUUAUAGAUGGUUCAAUUUCAGUUUCCACACUAGGGCUUCUGCAUUCUAAUUAUUAGCACAUCUGAUCUGGUCCAAAUUUAGCCAAUGGUGAAACAAAUACAAAUAAGCCAUGGUUUUUACACCAUCACAAUAAGCGAUGGUUUUUAAAUUGUACUCUCUAAAAUGUGCUUAGUGAACAUCACAGCAACUAAAUACGUUUUUGCUUGACAUGCCAUAGCAGAAUAAGUGUUCGAUCAGUAUUUCAUAGCAUGAUACAAGAAAACAGGGAAAUGGUUUAUAUUUGUUUGAUAAGGUUAACAUUUUUUAAGAUACUCAGAAUAAUUCUCUUUAUAAGGCAUGUCAAAGUAGCAUGUCAUUAUCAUUGCAUAGUCACUCCGAACUGAUGAAUCUAAUUUUCCGUAAGACUGACCGCUCUUCUGAGAUUCCUGCGAAAGGCUGAGGGGAUGCAAAAUUAAAUUAAUAUACUGAUAUAAUAUUAGUGCAGGUAUGAAAAAACAGUGCCACCAUUAGUCUGAGUUGCACUGCUGCAUUCAUUUUUAAAUAUUGCCAAGAUGCUGUGUAGGGUAUACAUGAAAAUAUGAGUUCUCAUUAAUGACCAGGCCAAUUUAUGAGAAAAUAAAUAGAGUCUGGGCCUUGUGCCAAUGGCAUGUAUCUGAGAGGCUGUAGAAAGGGUCCUAAUGCAAGGGUUUAUGAGACUAUUUUAGGUAAGGUCUAUGUGCAAGUGCAUGUGUUAUACAUAUCAUGAUACAAAUGCCCACUUCAGUGUAUCUCAAAAUUUAAUGAUGGUCUGCAAAAUCCUCAAAGGAUGGUGAUUAUUGUAAGCCAUUGCAUAUGCUAGGAGCUCUGCAACGCCUGCCUCACAACAGGGAGGGCAAAGGGUAAGUCCUGGAGGUACUUGGCAUAUAAUUAUCUUUGUGCUUUAUUUGUGAGCUCUCUCUUCAACUGCAAACGGAAUGAAAGGACCUAGGUGAGUUGCCUCACAGAGCCUAGAUAAAAUAAAGAGCUUAGGAAAGAUUUUUUUUUUUAAUAAGCUCACUGACUUCGGCAUCCAGUAUCUAUUUCACAGUUUCUUCACUAGGGCUGCUUGUAAAAACCUCUUUCUGGGCUAGGAGCAAUAAUUCCCCCAUCCAUGAUCUGAUGAAUGAGAAGGCUGAUCUGGUCUGUACCACUGAGACCUGGGUGGGUGAGCAGGGUGAAGUUGGUUUCACCUAGCUGUGCUCACUGUUGCCUAUUUGCAGUAUAGUAACGCUGCAGAGAGCUUGCUGGGGAGACCGUGCAUUAAAAAGGGACUCAAAAAAUAACUUAAACAAGGUUUUAAUUACAAAAACAAAAACUCCUUAAACACUAAAUACAUCAACAACAAACCAGACCCAACCACCAACCCAUCCCCCAGGGUAAUGGGAGAGCUAGGUGCUGCUAUUUAUGUACUACAUCCAAUUGCCUACACAGCUUAAUCAAUGCAACUCAGCAGCACCUGCUAUGUUUCACAGCUGUAAAGCUGGGUCUCAUUAUCUUGCUCUGGGCCUUGCUCUGGCCCCUUAAAGACAUACACAUUGAGUGGAACAAUGAUGAACCUUUACAUAUUAAGAAACCAUUCAACACUCACCUGGGUACUUGGUGCAACACCAGGGCAGAAUCAAGGGAUGGAGAGGGGGAAUUGCUGUGGCCUAUAGAAAUUCUCUCUCUCUCUCUUUCUCUCUCUCUCUCCAGGCUCUCUGUCCAGUUCUAAGGUGGGGAUCUAGUGUGUGUUCCUGGCAUUGGGAACAUUGGUUCCACCACACAAGAGAGCUAAUGCAAGGGAAUUUCUCCCACUUUCCUCACACCUACACACACCACACCAUCCCCAAAUCUUCUCUUGAGUGUUGGGGGAAACCCAGAACACACUGGGGACCAGAAAGUUGGAGAACCUUCCAUUAGACAAGGAGAAAUCCUUGCGCUAGUAGAAUUUUCUCAUGAGCGCUGUGUUGAAUACAAGUCUUAAUAAUGAUUCUAAAAUGCAUCUAAGCAUGGCCGCUCAUCACCAUUAAAAAAACUGGAAUUAAUCCAAAUUUAGAUACAUCUGCUGGUGACACCUGUCAAGAACAACUGUUCUUGACGACAUUUCCUGUCCUAUUUACCUACAAGGGCAUUUGUAAUAAAACCUUCUGCAGAACCAUAAAGAAACAGUACAGCAUUCUAAUCUGGUUGGUCCAAUUCCUUCAUGUAGAAACCCAACUAACACUUUUCAACUGUUUUUUCUUUUUUUAGGUGCCUGAUAUAUUUUCCUGCUACCAACACUUAAUAGUGAAAUUUGGGUCCUGCUAUAAUCUACAAGCCCUUCUGUUUCCCAGUGAAAUUACUUAGCACACUACAGUGUGAAUUUUGUCCUAACUGCAUUUCUUUCCCCACCUACCCUCAGUCAACUCAAAUUUCAGCAGAGACAAAUUAUAAAGCUAAGAAGUAAAGGUCAAGACAAAUUGCUACAGG